This 508-nucleotide ribosomal RNA is filed under the name uncultured bacterium. RNAcentral's name for it is "partial 16S ribosomal RNA". It matches the Rfam family "Bacterial small subunit ribosomal RNA", at positions 28 to 523 of the family's 1533-position model. The record is from RNAcentral.
GAUGAACGCUAGCUACAGGCUUAACACAUGCAAGUCGAGGGGAAACGACAUCGAAAGCUUGCUUUUGAUGGGCGUCGACCGGCGCACGGGUGAGUAACGCGUAUCCAACCUGCCCACCACUUGGGGAUAACCUUGCGAAAGUAAGACUAAUACCCAAUGAUAUCUCUAGAAGACAUCUGAAGGAGAUUAAAGAUUUAUCGGUGAUGGAUGGGGAUGCGUCUGAUUAGCUUGUUGGCGGGGUAACGGCCCACCCAGGCGACGAUCAGUAGGGGUUCUGGGAGGAAGGUCCCCGACAUGGGAACUAUGACACGGUCCAAACUCCUACGGGAGGCAGCAUUGAGUAAUAUGGGUAAUGGGGCGAGAGCUUGAACCAGCCAAGUAGCGUGCAUGAUGACGGCCCUAUGGGUUGUAAACUGCUUUUAUAAGGGAAUAAAGUGAGCCUCGUGAGGCUUUUUGCAUGUACCUUAUGAAUAGGGACCGGCUAAUUCCGUGCCAGCCGCCGCCGUAA